UUUGACCUCGGAUCAGGUAGGGAUACCCGCUGA
This 33-nucleotide ribosomal RNA is filed under the name Hyaloscypha sp. PWC-2015. Its description in RNAcentral is "partial 28S ribosomal RNA". The record is from RNAcentral. Lineage: Eukaryota; Fungi; Ascomycota; Leotiomycetes; Helotiales; Hyaloscyphaceae.